AAAUUAAUAAACACAGAGGGGAGGCCUGCAGUAAAACCAGGCAGGAGCCGCGUCCUCUACCACAGGCAAGUUACUGCGCCUCUCUGCGCCUGUCCCCUUCUCCGUGAAACGGUAGAGUGGAACAUAGUCCGCGCAACAAGAUAUUAGGGAAGCCGAGUCGAGAUUCCAGGAUGAAGUCACUUUGUGACUUCCCUGCGCAAGGAAGAGACCGCUUACUUGCACCAGGAGGAUCCUCAGAGGGGGCUAAUGCCUGAACUGUUCUGGAAUUCUCCUGCCUGAAGCCCACCAAUGACUUCUCUGCUGUCCUCAGAACCAACCCAGAGCAGCCUGUAUCCUUAAACCAACCUCCUCUUCCGGGAGCCACUACCGCUCACCCCUCAGGCCUGGCCAGUCCUCUCUGCAGCAGCUGCCUCCUACCUUGAAUCCUUGCUUCUGCCUGCACCCUUGGCUCACAGGCAGCCAGGAAGAUCCUUUGAAAACACAACUGCGAUAAUGUCCCCACAAGCCAGUGGCUUCCCAUUGUAGUUGUGGGAAAACCCUAAAUCGUUAUAGCUCACCAAGCUCCAGACCUCAGGGUCCAGUUCCCCUCAACCUCCUCUCCUCCUGCCUGGUCACUCACCUGCUUUAACCACACAGGCCUCUUUGCCGUUCCCCUCGGAGCCCGUGUACCUGCCUUUUUCCUCCCCCCAAAUGUCUUUCUCCAGAUGCUUCUGUGGUGGAUGCCUUCCCUUCCAGGUCUCUGCCCAAAUACCACCUCCUUAGAGCUUCCCCGGACCCCCAGCUGCUGUGCCCUCAACUCUCUCUCACAUGUACACCCUAAUCCUCCUCUUCACCCCUUACCCACCUUAGUUUUUCUUCUAAGUGCUUAUUUCCACCCGAAAUUAUUUUACUUAUGAAGUGUACAAAUAAUUUAAAAAUGUUACAAUAUUGUCCAUCUCUCUAAAGCAUAAUCUCUAGAAGAGCAUGAAUAGUGAAGGAAAAGAAGAAAGGGUAAAGGAAUUAGGGGCAGAUCUGGCUGAGUGGAGGCAGGAAGGAGGGAGAGGUGAAACCUGGGCGCUAGGAUCUCUGGGGGAAUGGCGGGUCGAGCUCAGGGAGCCGGCACAAGGCCCUGUGGAAUGAGGCUGAGGGUGACUUUCGGAACAAAGUAUAUGGAGCUGUAAAUACCAGAAGGGGAGCCGUGGAACCCAGAAGCAGAAUUCAGUAUUGGCCCUAAAGCCUCUUCCAUCUCUCUGGAAGGCAAGUUAUAACUUCUGGAAAGGACAGUGAGGGUCGGAUCCUAUAGAUCGUAUUCCAGGCUUGGCCUGAGCUGCUCUCCUGACCAUCCUCUGAGCCGGGAGGGUGUGGACUCAAGAUUUGGGGCCAAGGAGGAACUCGCAGCGUCACGCCCUCUGGAAUGCUGUGGCUGCGAUUAACGCGCUCCAGAUUUGCACAGUUCCCGUCAGAACAUGAAACCAGAGGGAAAAAAAACCCAUGAGGCCCAGAUUGAUCAGCGCAGAACUUAGCAACAGCACAACAAGCUGUAGCCAGCCCACUUCUGCAGCGAGGGGCUUUCCGCCAGGCCUGGGGCUUGGGAACUCCGAGCGGGCCCUGCUGUCUCUGGCUGGUUUGCAGGGCCCAGAGGCCCACCCCAUUGGCCAUUGCGGUGGUGGGUCUGCGACUUGUGCUGGAACCACAGGGCAUCCCAGAGAUGGCCUACAAUCCCUAUGGGGAGCCUGAGAAAGGAAGGCUGGUGGGUGUCCCCACACUUGGCCACCUUGGGAACCCUGGUUCACUCUGCUGGUUGAUGGGCUCACCAGGCCCACACCUUUGCCAGGAGCUGACAAGAGCGUGGGGGGACUUCUGAGUUUCAGAAACAUCCAGAUUACCCCAGCAUUUCAUGGUGAGUCACAGCCUCCGGUCUUCACCAUGACAUCUGGACGGCAAGGAACUUGGCCAGCUCCUGACCCAGUUCCUCAGUGCCUCCUCCCUCCACCAGGCCAGCUGCACACUCCCUGGGCCAGCAUGAUCGUGUUAUAAAAUAUCUCAAGCAUAUGGAGGUUCAUAAAAUCGUACUGGGGACAAGCACCCCUCACUCCUGUUUAA
Long non-coding RNA from Leopardus geoffroyi (Geoffroy's cat), 2082 nucleotides. RefSeq lists it as uncharacterized. The transcript has 3 exons. The record is from RefSeq and is a predicted model, not a curated record. Lineage: Eukaryota; Metazoa; Chordata; Mammalia; Carnivora; Felidae.